UACGGGGGGGAGCAAGCGUUGUUCGGAUUUACUGGGCGUAAAGGGCGCGUAGGCGGGCGAUCAAGUCCGGGGUGAAAGCCCCAGCUCAACUGGGGAAGUGCCUCGGAUACUGACGGCCUCGAGGAAGGUAGGGGCAUGCGGAACUGUAGGUGGAGCGGUGAAAUGCGUUGAUAUCUACAGGAACUCCGGUGGCGAAAGCGGCGUGCUGGACCUUUUCUGACGCUGAGGCGCGAAAGCUAGGGGAGCAAACGGG
RNAcentral lists this ribosomal RNA (253 nucleotides) under uncultured bacterium. RNAcentral's name for it is "partial 16S ribosomal RNA". It matches the Rfam family "Bacterial small subunit ribosomal RNA", at positions 524 to 776 of the family's 1533-position model. The record is from RNAcentral.